This 273-nucleotide ribosomal RNA is filed under the name uncultured prokaryote. RNAcentral's name for it is "partial 16S ribosomal RNA". It matches the Rfam family "Bacterial small subunit ribosomal RNA", at positions 524 to 798 of the family's 1533-position model. The record is from RNAcentral.
UACGUAGGGGCGAGCGUUGUCCGGAUUUACUGGGCGUAAAGGGUGAGUAGGCGGUUAUGUAUGUCAGAUGUAAAAGGCACAGGCUUAACUUGUGUUAGCAUUUGAAACUGCAUGACUUGAGUGCAGGAGAGGUAAGCGGAAUUCCUAGUGUAGCGGUGAAAUGCGUAGAUAUUAGGAGGAACACCGGUGGCGAAGGCGGCUUACUGGACUGUAACUGACGCUGAGUCACGAAAGCGUGGGUAGCAAACAGGAUUAGAUACCCGGGUAGUUCCU